GGCAGUUCAUCAGGAGUGAUGGCGUCUGGCACUCCCCUGAUCUAUGUGGUUUCGCCUUGUCCUGUCGUCAAAGGCUAUGUAGUGUAGGGAGAGUGCUUGUUUUUGGGCUUGUAAGGCCUACACAGAUUCCUGUAGGGUUGUCAGUUCCUGCUUGAUGCCUGAGAUAUCAUCCUCCGUGGAUUGCACCCUGUCUGUGAUAGCUUGUACGUCCACUUUAAUGGCCG
Non-coding RNA from Pelobates cultripes (western spadefoot toad), 224 nucleotides. Lineage: Eukaryota; Metazoa; Chordata; Amphibia; Anura; Pelobatidae. The record is from the annotation of a GenBank genome assembly.